Molecule: ribosomal RNA, 253 nt
Filed under: uncultured bacterium
Lineage: Bacteria
Description: partial 16S ribosomal RNA
Rfam family: Bacterial small subunit ribosomal RNA
Source: RNAcentral
GACGUAGGGUGCAAGCGUUGUCCGGAUUUAUUGGGCGUAAAGAGCUCGUAGGCGGCUUGUUGCGUCGACUGUGAAAACCCGCGGCUUAACUGGGGAACGGCGUCUGAGACUGGCAAGCUUGAGUGCAGGAGAGGAACGCGGAAUUCCAGGUGUAGCGGUGAAAUGCGUAGAUAUCUGGAGGAACACCGGUGGCGAAGGCGGCGUUCUGGACUGUAACUGACACUGAAGAACGAAAGCCAGGGGAGCAAACGGG